GAGUCAGAUGCGCUACCGUUGCGCCACGAGGCCACCGGGGUGAUCAUGUUUUACUGGCUACCAACCUGAUCUGAGGAACCGGUUUUCAGCGCCCGGUGAAGACCAGACAGCCGGGGCCCUUAAUAAACAAGCGUGCGCUUUUCCUCCCCUGCCUCCCAGGGUCGCUGACCAGGCCCGGCAGUCCCUCAGCGUCAGAUGCCCAGAGCUGAAAGGGGACCUGAAAAGCGGGAAGCCUGGUCUGCAGGAGCGAGUGGGAUCGCAGCGAUAUUCAUACCUACCGUGUACCAGGCCUGUUCCUUCAGUUCAGAAGCCUUCUCAGCAGUGUGAGAGUGGGCUCCAGGCACAGUGAUUUCCAGUGGACAGAGGAAGUCAGAGCGCUUGUAAAGGCUCAGGCAUCCCCCAGACCGUUGCACAGCCUGAAACUCCAUCUCUGUUUGCUUCCACAAGAGUAUGUACUGAAGCCCUUCUGUGCAAUUCAAGAAGUCCCACUUCGUGAUAUCCAAUUUCUUCUUGAUAUGGGUCUCAUACACCCAGGGCCUGCAGACUUUUAACUCUACCCCUCACCAGACGAGCUACAACACAACGCCCUCAUCUGUCUCACCUUUAUGCACUUGAAGCCAUAAAGAAUGUCAGAAGGACAGUGUUUAGAUGCACAAACUACUGAUUUGAGGCAGGUGGACGAAAAAGAAGUUAUGAUCUUAACGUCUGAUUAGAAAUUAAUUUGCUCCACUUUUACAUUAUAUCCAAAGUCUUUUAUUACUAAUUGUGGAAUAAAAAGCCAUCUGAAUUCUUAGGGAUGCUUACGCUAUUCCCUGAUGUAAGCAAGUUGAAAACAUUUUCUGAUGAGUCUUCUCACCUGGGAUUCUCUUUGAUCUGAAUCGUUCCUUGGACUGAAUGCUGACUUUAAAACCUUCUGUGUUCAGAUGAUUCACACUGCCUUGAUCCCCUAAAUGAGGAAUCCAAAAACUAGCCAAAGUAAUCAUCCUCAGCAAACAAGG
Molecule: long non-coding RNA, 998 nt
Filed under: Chinchilla lanigera (long-tailed chinchilla)
Lineage: Eukaryota; Metazoa; Chordata; Mammalia; Rodentia; Chinchillidae
Description: lncRNA (ENSCLAG00000027906.1)
Source: RNAcentral